Molecule: long non-coding RNA, 3777 nt
Organism: Biomphalaria glabrata
Lineage: Eukaryota; Metazoa; Mollusca; Gastropoda; Planorbidae
Exons: 7
Source: RefSeq, a predicted model, not a curated record
UGAUGUGUGUUUUAUAUAGGUUGCACCACUCGGUGUUUAGGAGUAACAUCCCUUGUAACAGUUGUUGUCAACCAAGAUCAUGGAUGGCAUACCAGCUGAUUUUGGUACAUCUUAUGGUGAAGAGUAGUUCAGGCAAGACCAGUAUGUGGUUCAUAAUACUUACUAAUUGUAUUGCAAGGGACACAAGAAGAAUAGGUGCAACAAUUUCCUCUUCUGAUGAUUGGGAAAUUCCAUUUGAAAGUAUCACAGAUCUCCAGUGGCUGGGAAGUGGAGCUCAUGGGCCUGUGUUUCUUGGCAAACUCUGUAAUGAAAAAGCAGUCAAGAAAGUCAGAGAUGUCAGACAGACAUUUGGAACUUAAGCUAACUGAAUCACCCAAACAUUAUAGCCUUCAAUGUUCUUGUGGCAUCCAAUGAUAUUGUCAGGAACCAGCCGAGAGUGGAAUAAAAAAACAAAAAGCACUAAAAUGUCAUUCGCUGGCACUGUGACCUGAAUGGCAUCAGAAGCACAUUUGAAAUAAAAUGUGCAGUGAAAUGAAAAAGUAGACAUUUGGAGUGCAAAGCUCAAAAAUCGACCAUCAUUUAGACAAAUUCUCAUGCACCUUGAGAUUGCCUCUGCUGAAUUACUUUGGUUCAGUCGGGAGGACUUUUCUGAAUUUCUAUGAAGUCCUUAACUGAAAGACACAGAUUCUGUCACUAUCAUCAAGAUAUUCUAAGAAAGGAUCUGAGAUGAGAACAAUUACUGACUAUGUACAAUAAUACUAGAAAGAGUAUAAUUCGUCCAGUCAUAAAAGUUCUAGAAAAGCUAGAUUGACUUGGUAAAAAAACUGACACAUAGGUCAGAGUCUGAAGUCACCAUGCCUGACUCUAUAAAAAAACACAGAAGGAAGCAUGACAACCAGGUCUUAGCUGGUACCACCACCCCCUACGAAAAUGCGUGCCAGGAAGUCUCGUCAUCGUCGCAAUAACAGCAGAGGGUCUAUGAAAGACAUUACCUCUCUGCUCAAAUCACAAUCUACAUAUGAAGCUUCACUGGACACCCAAACAUCAGACAAACUAAACCCUGCAGAGCUUCAUCCUACUGACCUAUGCUAAGACAUUAAACUUUUUGGGACCUGCCACUGCAAUCAGGGAGUAUCAAAGUGAAGAUGAAGCAGAUGGGCAAGAGACUAGGUUAACAACAUUAAAAAACAUCAAGUUCGUUGUGGCAAAAACUCAUCCACUUCUGCUGCUAGGCACUCGCCAAUCUCAAAACAUUCUCCUGUAAGUAAAAGCAGAACUCAUCCUAUCAAGACAAUAACAUUAAUGAUGUUUGCUUUGGCUGUAAUGGUGGCUGCAGUGAUGCUACUUGUAGCAGCAAAUGCUCAUCCCAGGUCAGUGCUGAUGUGGAGAACACAUGUGACCCUAUGCCCAGCCCAAAACAGAACUUGGAAACUAUGAGUGAAAAAUCCUCUCCAGAUAUUGACCUCUCAUCCCGACCUGAAACCUUUAUUUCAAUGCUGAGAUAACAAACAGAUGGUUUGGUUGUUGUUGUAUUUGAAAAACACAAAUGUCUACCAAACUUGAGGCCCACUUUCUUCAAUUCUUUACAAAGGUAACCUGCAGCAUGUUAAAAAGAUGAAGUUUGUGAUAGGCUUCUUAAAAAGUUGGUUCCAAUAAAAAUUAAACUGAGUUAAUUCAUAAGUAUCAAUUUUAACCAGGUGUAAUAGUUUGUAUUUCAAAUGUCUGAUAAGUCCACUUGGGCAUUAUUUGUUUAUUGGGAGCUCUGUUUGAUUAGCCAGUGCACUAGGAAUUUUGUCUCUUUCAUAAAAAUGAACAUUUUAAAAAAUCUCCUUAAAACUUAAAGAUGACUCAUUUUCAAAAGCUUAUUGCAUUCAAGAUUUGGGUGGCAGAUUGGCUUAGCCAAUACGCAAGGAACUACUGCAUAUUGGUAAUAAGCUAAUGCACAGGAAAAUAUUAUUUAUUGACUGUUGCUAACAACCAAUGUAAAAAGGAUUUUCAGCCAGUGCAUGUUUUCAAGAGGGGAAAAGUCCUCUUAAAUAAAUACACACAACGAUUUUGUAGGCAGUUUUCUUUGCUUCUUUUCUCCUCAUUUUCAUCUUUGCUAAUGAUACAUUUAUUUGUUUAAUAACAAUGUUUUAUCAAAUCUUUGAAAUAUAAAAAAUAAUUUGAAACUAACAUAUCACAUUUUUUAAAACUGUUUUGUUAUGUAUCUUAGAACAUGGUAACCUCUAUUGGCAAUCCGAGAUAAUAAUAAAAAUAGAUGCACAUUUUUUCAUGUCUUUUUUUUGCAUUCUUAAAAAGAAUGUAUGCAUCCAAAACAGUGUUACCCAACCUAGAGCCUGUAGGCCAUAUCUGACCCAUGAUGCAGUGCAGUUUGGCUUUUGAAGCUUCUGCUCAUGGUGCAGAGACUAAUUUCAUUGGACUUGCCUUUUUUUGUGUGGCCCAUGACAUGUAUAAGAAAUUCAGCCUUAAGGCUGGAAAAGGUUGGGCAGCACUGACCUAAAUCAUCCCUUUUGAGUUUUGUCCACAUCAAUACAUGAUUUUAUUUCCUGUCCAAUUUUUCAUAGACCUAAAAAACUUGUUGGAUUUAUUAAAUGUUGAUAGAACAGAAAGAAAAAAAUUAUUUCUUUUUCAGGGUGGGGUUUUUGGACUAGUAUUUAAAAAUAGUAUUCAGUCCUACAAAAAGAUUAGUUUAUUGAGACUUAAAAUUGUUUUGUUGUUUUAUAAGGUCAAUUUAAAAAUGUCAUCACCUCCAACUUGAAUUAUUCUCAAUAUGAAAAAGUGUGAAUUAUUUUGUCAUAGAAACAUUUAUUACAACAUAAACUGAAAAAAAAAGUUAAAUAUUAUAUAAAUAUUGUAUAUUACAAUAGCUCAUGAUUUUUACUAACGAGUUUCACUUCAGUUUCUCUGUGGCUAAUUACUCUUAUUUCAUACAUUUAUAAGUGUAUAUUUGUUUGUAUAGAUCUUUAUUUAUUUUAACACAUAUCUUCUUUUCUCUAGAACUGUUCUUAAAGUUUACCAGUGACAUUUGUAUUAGAUCUCCAGAUGAUACUUGUUUUUAUUUGACCACAUAAAUUUGUCAUUAUUCCAUUCAUUAGACAAACUGCAAAAGUUUUGCUGGAUAAAACUUGCUUCAUCAAAACAUUGGUUUUGCUGGCUGGACUAUCACCUUGAUUAUUGAAAAGAGUUCAUCUUAGUUUAUGCUUUUGUUUAACUUUUGCACUCUCAAAUCUACUAAACGUUAAUCAUAUAAAAGUAAUGAAACAUUUUUUUUUCUUAGCCAUGUCUACUACCAUUGUUAAAAUAGAUACAAUUGUGAGGGAGUUUUAAAAAUGUAAUUUGCUAGAUUACUAGCACAACCACUCAUUGAAAUUAAUUUUAGUGGAAAAGGGGGGGGGGGGGACAAAAAAGUGUUUUCUAUGUUGUUGUUUUUUUAUGUUUUAUUAUUUUUUUUUACAUUUAAACACCUUGUAUAUUGACAGAAGAACUCUUUUGUGUUCUCCUGAUUCCUACAAUCAUUCUAGUGGCAGCCAUUUUAUUUCUUGUCAUUUGUAGAACUAUGAUUCAGUUGUUAUUGUUGUGAAUUAGUCCUCCCAAUGGUUAUUACGUAUUUAUAUGGUUUAACAUUUUUUUAAAAUUAUUGUAAAGACAAUCUAAAUAAUGCCUGUCCUGUCAGGACUUUAUUUAUGAUUAGAUUUUUAAAUGUCUAGGUAAUUAAGUAAAAUUUUAAUUGCAAUAUGUGUGUGUAUUAAAGAAUAAUUGUUAUCUUUUGCUUGA